This 583-nucleotide ribosomal RNA is filed under the name Saccharomyces cerevisiae (brewer's yeast). RNAcentral describes it as "partial large subunit ribosomal RNA". It matches the Rfam family "Eukaryotic large subunit ribosomal RNA", at positions 72 to 670 of the family's 3401-position model. Lineage: Eukaryota; Fungi; Ascomycota; Saccharomycetes; Saccharomycetales; Saccharomycetaceae. The record is from RNAcentral.
GGGAUGCCUUAGUACGGCGAGUGAGCGGCAAAAGCUCAAAUUUGAAAUCUGGUACCUUCGGUGCCCGAGUUGUAAUUUGGAGAGGGCAACUUUGGGGCCGUUCCUUGUCUAUGUUCCUUGGAACAGGACGUCAUAGAGGGUGAGAAUCCCGUGUGGCGAGGAGUGCGGUUCUUUGUAAAGUGCCUUCGAAGAGUCGAGUUGUUUGGGAAUGCAGCUCUAAGUGGGUGGUAAAUUCCAUCUAAAGCUAAAUAUUGGCGAGAGACCGAUAGCGAACAAGUACAGUGAUGGAAAGAUGAAAAGAACUUUGAAAAGAGAGUGAAAAAGUACGUGAAAUUGUUGAAAGGGAAGGGCAUUUGAUCAGACAUGGUGUUUUGUGCCCUCUGCUCCUUGUGGGUAGGGGAAUCUCGCAUUUCACUGGGCCAGCAUCAGUUUUGGUGGCAGGAUAAAUCCAUAGGAAUGUAGCUUGCCUCGGUAAGUAUUAUAGCCUGUGGGAAUACUGCCAGCUGGGACUGAGGACUGCGACGUAAGUCAAGGAUGCUGGCAUAAUGGUUAUAUGCCGCCCGUCUUGAACCCCGGGACCAAG